GCUUCUGUGGUUAAGUGGUUAAGAGCACUGACUUUCAAUCCGAAGGUGCUGGGUUCAAAUCCCAGCCAAGGCG
Molecule: transfer RNA, 73 nt
Filed under: Diaphorina citri (Asian citrus psyllid)
Lineage: Eukaryota; Metazoa; Arthropoda; Insecta; Hemiptera; Psyllidae
Rfam family: tRNA
About the family: Transfer RNA (tRNA) molecules are approximately 80 nucleotides in length. Their secondary structure includes four short double-helical elements and three loops (D, anti-codon, and T loops).
Source: Rfam by way of RNAcentral